ACUCAUGUAAGUCCAUCCUUCGUAUAUUUCAAUUCUUCUUCUAAGCUAAUUAAAUUGAGAGAGAGAGCACAGAUCGAAGGCUUCAUGGUUAUAAACUAAUUGAAAGCCUGUGGAGCUCAAUUUCUCACUAUCUCUGCAAUCUAGAGAAGAAUAUCCUCUUUUUUUGCUGAAUUUGAUUGCGCUGAGAAUGGUUGAACGAUCGAAACUGUUACCCCUAAAUAUGCAGAAAUAAUUGUAAUUCGUCACGGCGAGACGGAGUGGAAUAACAAUCAUAGAAUUCAGGAGAAUACAGAUUCAUGCAGGGAGCCGGGAGUUAAGUAAACUGAGGAAUUUGAAAGAGCUAGAGCUCAGCAGAGUGCGCCAAGAAGGCCUUCUGCUUUCCCAAUUUUGCAGCGAGAUUGCUGGGCUUAAGUGCUAGCUUGACGAGGCUUUCCAUUUGUCAUUUCUCCAUAAGGAUCUAUAAGAUGAUGCAUUUCUUUGGAGUUUUAAACAUCCUUUUAAGGCCGGUGUACAAGGACUGGAAAACUGGUGUGUAAAAGCAUCGGCUGAGUAUCAGUAUGUUGGAUCCUCGUGGGACGAACUCCAGCACAUAAGACAAGCUAUAGCUUUUGUAUUCAUGCAGGGAGUUCAUAGAGCAAGCUGGUAGAGGGGGUUCUAUCUCUUCUUUCUUAUAUUAAUAUUAUACAAUAUAAUUUUCGUUGCAUUUUAAAAUAUUAUAUUCAGGAAUUAUUUGUUUUAUGAAUUCUAUUCUAUUCUAUAAGAAAGUUAUGCAUUUCCUAUUUCGUUUCUGAUUUCCAAACCUUUAAUGUAUUUGAUCACAUUGGAUGAUUGAAUUUGAUUCUCUGAAUUCAUUUGCUCUAAUUUCUUACUUCAGUCUUGCUUGGAUCAUUUGUAGUUUUGAUACAACUUUUUUGUCGAAUUUCUAGAUGACUAAUAUGAGAAGCUUUCUUGCUUCGGGCUCGUUGAAUUGAGCAGCCUUUGUAUACGAUGAUCCUUUAUUUUGAGAAUAGCAUGUGGAUAAAUGAAUUGGUUUUGAAUGAAAAUGGAGUUGGUUAGUCUUGAGGUUUGACGAGCACAUUCUUUCGCUGUUUGAUUCGUAGUUGGAGCUUGGGGUUAUCUUAGAGCUUGUGGUUGUAGGCUCUGUCAAAAUUUCUUGCUCUCUAUUUCCACAGGAGACUAGCGGCAUUAGUUUUAGAAAGCAGCUUGCAGCUUCACUGGCACAGCAUACUGCAAGAGUUGACAAGGUUGGCCAAGCUCACCGGCCUCUGCCACCUGCUAGAUGUUCUAGCGCAAUGGAGAUUGCUCCUCCUCAUUGCAGUCAGUUCAAACAGUUCUGUAGUCUCAAAUGGCAAAUUUGGAGAGUCGAGUUACAGCCUCAAAACAUCCACCGAGUUGCUUAAAGUACUGAAUAAAAUUUGGAGCCUCGAAGAAAAGCAUGCAUUGGAUAUGUAGUUGGUAAGAGCUCUGAAGAGGGAACUGCAGCAAUCCCAGGCACGAAAUCAAGAACUGAUGCAAGAGAAGAAGAGAAAUCAGAAUUAAAUUGAUCAUUUGAUGAAGCAAAUGACGGAGUAUAAAGUUGCUUGAAAGAGGGAGCCGCAACGUAUCAAGGAUGCAGUCAAGUUAGUCGAAGACAAGUUAGAGGAUGAACUAAAAUUAAGGAGACAUUCAGAGAGUCACCAUCACAAGCCGCCUAAGGAGCUCACACAGAUGAAAUCCUCGUUCUCUAAUGUUUUGAGAGAGCUUGAUCGGAGGAAAGCUAGAAGACCUCUGCGAUUAGUUUGCCAAAGGGAUACACGAGAUUAUGAGCGAGAUUAUGACAACCUCUUGAUUCCUUUUAUCUUUAGAUGUUGGAGCUUUGUGGAACUAUUUUGAACAAUUUGAUUUUAACUUGUUUAUGUUGGAGAUUGAACAUAUGAUAUUUUGUUAAGUUGGAUUUCAAUGAAUUAAUGUGAUAUAAGACUUCUUUUGUGGUUUAUAUUUUA
Salvia miltiorrhiza (redroot sage) is the source of this 1982-nucleotide long non-coding RNA. RefSeq lists it as uncharacterized. NCBI's taxonomy places the organism in Eukaryota, Viridiplantae, Streptophyta, Magnoliopsida, Lamiales, Lamiaceae. The transcript has 6 exons. The record is from RefSeq and is a predicted model, not a curated record.